Long non-coding RNA from Daucus carota subsp. sativus, 1208 nucleotides. RefSeq lists it as uncharacterized. The transcript is spliced from 5 exons. The record is from RefSeq and is a predicted model, not a curated record. NCBI's taxonomy places the organism in Eukaryota, Viridiplantae, Streptophyta, Magnoliopsida, Apiales, Apiaceae.
CUUAGAGAAAAAACCCGCUCAACAAAUAAAAAUGUUAAGCUCUCUUUCUCUAUUACCCAAAAAUUAUUCUAUCUUCCAUUCAUAUCUCUCUCUUAUAUUCAUAUUUCUCGCUUACACUAAUAUCUCUCCGGGCUCAUCUCUCUCUCGACUCAUCUCUCUCCUGGCUCAUCUCUAUCCGAUCUUUUAUAUCUACGCUGUUCUCUCUUCGUCCAUCUCAACUUAGAGGUGGGAGAUAUCUCCAUCGAUGAUUAUAAGUUAUCUUACUAUGUGAUGUCUAUUUAUGUAGCGGAGGAUACAAAGGUAUCCACAAUGGCAAAGCCCUGAUUUUUAUAUAUCAAGAGAGGUCAACAAGGUAUGGACGGAGUUGGAAGGGUACAUAAAGAAGCUUGUACAUGCUGAAGUAUAUGUUGAGUCUAAAGAAGAAGGCAAUGUGGAAGGAGCAAGUGCAAUGAACAGAACUAGUUUUCUUGGUCUCACUGGUGCUAAGUAGGGAAACUACCGCAUCUGCAGGUCAAAACCUACAUUCUCGUAUGGUUGACACCUGGACUGUUGUAAAUGCUCCUGAAUCCUGUCUACUUAUAUGGACUAAUCUCAGAGCAUUCUGUAUAUUUGCCAGAAGAUGCACCUGGGUGGCUAUUGUCGUUAGCAGGUUUCUGUCCUAUAUAAAAGGUCAAGCUUGCUACGUGAUCUGCAUAGACUUCUUACCAAGUCUUUGAGUCAGCUUGGCUCCUAGAGUUGGAACCUGAAAGACCUGAAAGAUCAGUACUUAGAAAGUUUGAAUGAAAAGACCCGAGAUCAACUUGCUCAAGAGAUGGAAGAAAAAAUGGAUCAAAAGGUUAGGGAGAAUGUAAAGGCACUGGUGUCCAAGUUGGCAGAAAAGAAUCCAGAUCAACCUCAAGAUUGAUAUUGAAGACCUCGGUGUCGAGCCGACAUAAGAUGCCUCUGCAAGUGGAGCCAACACCGCCAACACGGAAACUACUUGAUUUGAUCCUUGAUGUACUUAAAAAAUCUAACCAUAUAUUGCAAAUUUUCACUUGUAAUGUAAUUAUGACUUGAGAAUUUAUGAACUUGAACUGCUAUUUCAGUAGGAUGGUUAGAUUAUGAUUGUUGCAAAACUUGGGUGAAUAAUUUAUGGUUAAAUCAGAAUUUGCAAUUGGUUGGCUUGAUUUGUUUUGGGAUGUUUCCUAUUAAAUCAAAAUUUGUUGUUG